This 301-nucleotide ribosomal RNA is filed under the name uncultured bacterium. RNAcentral's name for it is "partial 16S ribosomal RNA". It matches the Rfam family "Bacterial small subunit ribosomal RNA", at positions 509 to 809 of the family's 1533-position model. The record is from RNAcentral.
CAGCAGCCGCGGGAAUACGAAGGGGGCUAGCGUUGUCCGGAUUUACUGGGCGUAAAGCGCACGUAGGCGGAUUGGUAAGUUAGGGGUGAAAUCCUGGAGCUCAACUCCAGAACUGCCUUUAAUACUGCCAGUCUCGAGUCCGGAAGAGGUAAGUGGAACUCCUAGUGUAGAGGUGGAAUUCGUAGAUAUUAGGAAGAACACCAGUGGCGAAGGCGGCUUACUGGUCCGGUACUGACGCUGAGGUGCGAAAGCUAGGGGAGCAAAUGGGAUUAGAGACCCCUGUAGUCCCUGUCUCUUAUAU